RNAcentral lists this ribosomal RNA (497 nucleotides) under uncultured bacterium. Its description in RNAcentral is "partial 16S ribosomal RNA". It matches the Rfam family "Bacterial small subunit ribosomal RNA", at positions 28 to 507 of the family's 1533-position model. The record is from RNAcentral.
GAUAAACGCUGGCGGCGUGCCUAAUACAUGCCAGUCGAGCGAACGGACGAGAAGCUUGCUUUUCUGAUGUUAGCGGCGGACGGGUGAGUAACACGUGGAUAACCUACCUAUAAGACUGGGAUAACUUCGGGAAACCGGAGCUAAUACCGGAUAAUAUUUUGAACCGCAUGGUUCAAAAGUGAAAGACGGUCUUGCUGUCACUUAUAGAUGGAUCCGCGCUGCAUUAGCUAGUUGGUAAGGUAACGGCUUACCAAGGCAACGAUGCAUAGCCGACCUGAGAGGGUGAUCGGCCACACUGGAACUGAGACACGGUCCAGACUCCUACGGGAGGCAGCAGUAGGGAAUCUUCCGCAAUGGGCGAAAGCCUGACGGAGCAACGCCGCGUGAGUGAUGAAGGUCUUCGGAUCGUAAAACUCUGUUAUUAGGGAAGAACAUAUGUGUAAGUAACUGUGCACAUCUUGACGGUACCUAAUCAGAAAGCCACGGCUAACUACGUG